GGACAGGUGUCUGAGCGGUCUAAAGAGACGGUCUUGAAAACCGUUGAAGCGCAAGCUUCCGCGAGUUCGAAUCUCGCCCUGUCCGCCU
RNAcentral lists this transfer RNA (88 nucleotides) under Bifidobacterium margollesii. Its description in RNAcentral is "tRNA-Ser". It matches the Rfam family "tRNA". From Rfam's summary of the family: Transfer RNA (tRNA) molecules are approximately 80 nucleotides in length. Their secondary structure includes four short double-helical elements and three loops (D, anti-codon, and T loops). Lineage: Bacteria; Bacillati; Actinomycetota; Actinomycetes; Bifidobacteriales; Bifidobacteriaceae. The record is from RNAcentral.